This is a non-coding RNA of Dicentrarchus labrax (European seabass), 599 nucleotides long. Lineage: Eukaryota; Metazoa; Chordata; Actinopteri; Moronidae. The record is from the annotation of a RefSeq genome assembly.
ACUAAUGUACAGUAAACAUUCAUUCUGCAGUUUCACCAAACAUCAACUGAGAUCCAAGUCAAAUCCAGUUCCACACUGUGAGGAGGAGUCAAUGCAAAACUCAGAUGUCUUCCACCUCUACUUAUCUGACUGCAGAGAGGAUGACAGAGAACAGUGGACACACAGUUUAACAUGAUGGACUAUAGGACAGGACUGCUGCUGUUAACUAUCUGCUGGGCAGGUGUUGAUGGUCAGACUCUGACAGAAUCUGAACCAGUGGUUAAAAGGCCUGGAGAAUCUCACAGAUUGACCUGUACAGCCUCUGGAUUCUCAUUCAGCAGCUCUUAUAUGGCCUGGGUCAGACAGGCUCCUGGAAAAGGACUGGAGUGGAUUGCUUAUAUAAGCACAGCUAGUACUCCGAUCUAUUACUCCCAGUCAGUCCAGGGUAGAUUCACCAUCUCCAGAGAUGACUCCAGCAGUAAACUCUAUCUGCAGAUGAACAGUCUGAAGACCGAGGACACAGCAGUGUAUUACUGUGCCAGAGAGACACAGUGAGAGACAAUAACAGGAGAGUCAUACAAAAACUACUUCCUCUAUUUACAACCACUGAGAAGAUUCAC